Long non-coding RNA from Oncorhynchus keta (chum salmon), 299 nucleotides. RefSeq lists it as uncharacterized. The record is from RefSeq and is a predicted model, not a curated record. NCBI's taxonomy places the organism in Eukaryota, Metazoa, Chordata, Actinopteri, Salmoniformes, Salmonidae. The transcript is spliced from 3 exons.
AGUAGAAAGACAUCCAGGUUGUCAUUAGCUGAAAUGGGACCGAUCUCUGGUGAAAGGCCCCCAGAUUCAACUGAGGCCAAGACCUCAGAACGUCAUUGGACCAGCAUCCUCAAAAAGAAAGUCAACCCAGUCCCAAAGAGAGCACAGAGGGUCUUUCCCAGGGCAGGACACCCCAAGGCCGGUGAAGAAGGCUUUGAGGCAGUUGCCUCCCUUACCUGAGCUGGAGAAGAGCAGUGUCCGACGACACAGCAGCUACACUGGGUCCGCAGUGUAUGACGUUGUCGCCACAGAGGUUUGUA